RNAcentral lists this ribosomal RNA (345 nucleotides) under uncultured archaeon. RNAcentral describes it as "bacterial SSU rRNA". It matches the Rfam family "Archaeal small subunit ribosomal RNA", at positions 385 to 730 of the family's 1478-position model. The record is from RNAcentral.
UGCGAGGGCAUANAGCCCUCGCUUUUCUGAACCGUAAGGUGGUUCAGGAACAAGGGCUGGGCAAGACCGGUGCCAGCCGCCGCGGUAAUACCGGCAGCCCAAGUGAUGGCCGAUAUUAUUGGGCCUAAAGCGUCCGUAGCUGGCCGAACAAGUCCGUCGGGAAAUCCACGCGCUUAACGUGUGGGCGUCCGGCGAAAACUGUUCGGCUUGGGACCGGAANANCUGAGGGGUACGUCUGGGGUAGGAGUGAAAUCCCGUAAUCCUGGACGGACCACCGAUGGCGAAACCACCUCANNANGACGGAUCCGACAGUGAGGGACGAAAGCUAGGGUCUCGAACCGGAUU